GAUGAACGCUGGCGGCGUGCCUAAUACAUGCAAGUCGAGCGAACGGACGAGAAGCUUGCUUCUCUGAUGUUAGCGGCGGACGGGUGAGUAACACGCGGAUAACCUACCUAUAAGACUGGGAUAACUUCGGGAAACCGGAGCUAAUACCGGAUAAUAUUUUGAACCGCAUGGUUCAAAAGUGAAAGACGGUCUUGCUGUCACUUAUAGAUGGAUCCGCGCUGCAUUAGCUAGUUGGUAAGGUAACGGCUUACCAAGGCAACGAUGCAUAGCCGACCUGAGAGGGUGAUCGGCCACACUGGAACUGAGACACGGUCCAGACUCCUACGGGAGGCAGCAGUAGGGAAUCUUCCGCAAUGGGCGAAAGCCUGACGGAGCAACGCCGCGUGAGUGAUGAAGGUCUUCGGAUCGUAAAACUCUGUUAUUAGGGAAGAACAUAUGUGUAAGUAACUGUGCACAUCUUGACGGUACCUAAUCAGAAAGCCACGGCUAACUACGUGCCAGCAGCCGCGGUAAUACGUAGGUGGCAAGCGUUAUCCGGAAUUAUUGGGCGUAAAGCGCGCGUAGGCGGUUUUUUAAGUCUGAUGUGAAAGCCCACGGCUCAACCGUGGAGGGUCAUUGGAAACUGGAAAACUUGAGUGCAGAAGAGGAAAGUGGAAUUCCAUGUGUAGCGGUGAAAUGCGCAGAGAUAUGGAGGAACACCAGUGGCGAAGGCGACUUUCUGGUCUGUAACUGACGCUGAUGUGCGAAAGCGUGGGGAUCAAACAGGAUUAGAUACCCUGGUAGUCCACGCCGUAAACGAUGAGUGCUAAGUGUUAGGGGGUUUCCGCCCCUUAGUGCUGCAGCUAACGCAUUAAGCACUCCGCCUGGGGAGUACGACCGCAAGGUUGAAACUCAAAGGAAUUGACGGGGACCCGCACAAGCGGUGGAGCAUGUGGUUUAAUUCGAAGCAACGCGAAGAACCUUACCAAAUCUUGACAUCCUUUGACAACUCUAGAGAUAGAGCCUUCCCCUUCGGGGGACAAAGUGACAGGUGGUGCAUGGUUGUCGUCAGCUCGUGUCGUGAGAUGUUAGGUUAAGUCCCGCAACGAGCGCAACCCUUAAGCUUAGUUGCCAUCAUUAAGUUGGGCACUCUAAGUUGACUGCCGGUGACAAACCGGAGGAAGGUGGGGAUGACGUCAAAUCAUCAUGCCCCUUAUGAUUUGGGCUACACACGUGCUACAAUGGACAAUACAAAGGGCAGCGAAACCGCGAGGUCAAGCAAAUCCCAUAAAGUUGUUCUCAGUUCGGAUUGUAGUCUGCAACUCGACUACAUGAAGCUGGAAUCGCUAGUAAUCGUAGAUCAGCAUGCUACGGUGAAUACGUUCCCGGGUCU
This 1372-nucleotide ribosomal RNA is filed under the name uncultured bacterium. Its description in RNAcentral is "bacterial SSU rRNA". It matches the Rfam family "Bacterial small subunit ribosomal RNA", at positions 28 to 1381 of the family's 1533-position model. The record is from RNAcentral.